GUGACUGGAUUUUCCUCCCCAGUAUGCCUGAAGUCUGAUAACCCAGUGACUCCACUAGGAACCUUCUGGUUCAUAAUAUUGUAAGGGAAGGUCAUGGGCAACCUGUUUCUUUCACUUCAGCCCAUAAUAUCUUGGGAUGUGAAAAGGUUAUGCUUUCAUUUUUGGUUAAGUUUGCAGAACAUUCUGGUGAUAAAGCUGGUGAUGUUCUGGGGAGAGAACAGGGGAGAACUUGUGAGAAAAAGACUGGAAAGGAAAAAUACCUCAAAACCAGCUAACUUUAGUAUUCUUCUUAUUGAUCCCACCAGUAAGAAUAACAGUUGAUGUGCUUUUCCUGCACUAAAUAGAUGGAUUUAUUUCUUGGUAGUAAACAGUGUCUAUGGGAUUAUUUUCAGAUGGCAUUGUGAAGUUUAUGCUUACUCAAACAAUAGGCACUGGAAAGUUGAUGUAAAAAUAUGGUUGGAGUAAAAAUAAAUGUUUUUCUCUAUAUUCUUCCUGCUUCUUGGAACUGGAUGUUUCUUAAAGUGCUGGUGUGAAAGCAAACACUGCCAAAAUGAAGAUAACAGCAGAUACCAUCUCCAUUCCAUGUGUCUACAGAACAGAAAGGGAACUGAUGAUAAGAAAGAAAUCAACUUUAGCUGUUGUUGUUUAAUAUGACCACCAGGAAUGUACCCCCAGACAUGAUAACAACAGCAUCUGUCAUUGAACUGUGCAAGCUCUAUCUGCCUCCUGGCACAUUUCAGAUAUAAACAGUGAGGGCCUCAGCUGAUCUCUUAGGAGUUUGCGCAGCUAACAGCAGCAGCAGAGCUUGAAAAUAAUGCAUCCUCCCUAUGCCAUGGCCUCUCUGAAGAAUAUCCCUCUCCUCCCCAAAAAAUUAAAAAAGGAAGGGUGGAUCAGCAAAGGAGGAGAAUACAGAUGCAUACACAGACACCUGGAUAGGUUUAAAGGCAGGGCCAUCAGUUAAAGCUCCAGAUCAUUUCCUGUGCUGUCCCACCCACAGGUUCGAUGGAACAUGGCAAAGUAACUGCUGAAGCUAUGUGUGAUGGAAAUGGUCAUGCAACAAAGGAAGUGGCAGCAACAGCAAAAAAUAUACUUUCCAAGCAAAACUCUCUGAGCCAUGCUUGUAUGUUGGAAACGCAAUCUGGGGACAGGAGGUUAGAUGAAAACACACUUGUUUGAGAACAGCAGCCCUCUGUUCCUCAGGGCUUGCUCCUGGCCUUGCUCAAGCCAUAGUCUGCUCAGGCAGCUGCUGGCAGCUGCAGCCACCAGCUGUAUCCAAGGGGAUCCCAAGGACAGACCCAGUUCAGCAGCCAUGAAAACAGUACCCUGAAGACAUGAAGCAAUUGUUGAUCUGCAUGCCAUCAAGCCCCAGUACUGAAUAAAGAGAAGAAUAAUCUCUUUUUAUUCACUUUAUCUAUCCUGUUCUCCUUAUUAGAUCUCUUUCCUUGUGAUUAAUUCUCAACCUGGUAUUUUUAAUAACUGUGUAUUUCAUUUGCAUUUGAUACUUAAAGAGGGAGGGAGGAUAAAAGGAUGAAACUCCUAGAAUUAAUGCACACCAACCCCUAACCUUAAACAUUGGUAUUACCCUUCUGUAAGACUAUCCUCUGUCAAGUAACAGUACCCAGGAAAUAAAUACUAGUCUCUUAACAGCUGUCCUGGAGACUACAUCCCUAUUAUGACUCUUCUUGAACAGAGUAAACUAAAUAAAGUUGAAUGAAGUUAUCAGACAUGAUCUCAUAUUCAAAGAGCCAAUGUCACUAAAAUAACAUUCUAAAUUCCACAGUCUAAUGUAAUUAUUAAAGUGGAAUGUGGUCUGUUUAGUACUGUAUUGAUUUAAGCAGCUCUCUCUCGAUUUGUAGCAACCGUGCCACUGCUGGCAUUGAGUUAGCCCUGCUGGUAUACUUACAUCUUGGACAAUAUUUACAAUAUAACAUCUUGAACGAUAUUCACAAUAUAGCAGUGAAUAAUGUCAAUGGCCAAAAUUUAUUAUAUAGAGUUCAAGAUUUUCAGCAAAGUAUUUAAACCUAAUGUUAAAAGUGGAAGGCUUGUGCUUACGGGAAUAAAAGAUGAGAAAUAACAAGAAGGUAUAAAGCAUCAGACACUUCCUUUGCCUGUCUGGAAAAAGCAGUAAAAGUGACUUCUCAUCUUC
Molecule: long non-coding RNA, 2146 nt
Organism: Pezoporus flaviventris
Lineage: Eukaryota; Metazoa; Chordata; Aves; Psittaciformes; Psittacidae
Exons: 2
Source: RefSeq, a predicted model, not a curated record